This 766-nucleotide long non-coding RNA is filed under the name Homo sapiens (human). RNAcentral describes it as "novel transcript, sense intronic to NDFIP1". The record is from RNAcentral. Lineage: Eukaryota; Metazoa; Chordata; Mammalia; Primates; Hominidae.
UUUUUUUUUUUUUUUUUUUUUACAAAGUGAUCUGAUCUAUAAUUUAGUAAUACGGUCCAGAGUCCCUAAGAUCUGUUUGUUCUUCAGUUUGUGUACUGCCAGCAUUUCUGUAACACUGCCACUCAAGCCUCCAAGUCUCAGACAGCAGUGCCCUCUAGCAGUCUUUCAUUUGGAGAUUGUGUGGUGAUUGAGAUUACCCACUGGUGACCUCUCUAGGUCCUCUUGAGAUAUUUUAUUUUAAUUUAAUUUUUACUUCUCUUACUGAACAAGCAAAGGGAUUUUUAAUGUUUGUUGGGUGUCAGGCUUUGACUUUGAGGGAUCUAUUAAAGCUGUUUACCUAUGCUAAAGCAUCAUAAACUAAGGAAGUGGCCAGGUAAUUGUCCGUACCAUAUUGUAUAUUCUUGCAAACUCUGUUUUGACCUACUAGUCACUGUUUCAUCAGUUUUCAUCUAUUAAAAGAAACUGGGCCAGGCAUGGUGGCUCACGCCUGUAAUCCCAGCACUUUGGGAAGCCAAGGCGGGCAGAUCACGAGGUCAGGAGAUCAAGACCAUCCUGGCUAACACAGUGAAACCCCGUCUCUACUAAAAAUACAAAAAAUCAGCUGGGUGUGGUGGCGGGCGCCUGUAGUCCCAGCUACUCGGGAGGCUGAGGCAGGAGAACAGCAUGAACCCGGGGGGCGGAGCUUGCAGUGAGCCGAAAUUGUGCCACUGCACUCCAGCCUGGGUGAUAGAGCGGGACUCCGUCUCAAAAAAAAAAAAAAAAAAAA